UGUAAGCGUAUACCAAAGUUGUUGCAGUUAAAACGCUCGUAGUCGGAAUUUGGCAGUUCCGGGUGUGUGCACGUCGUGUGCGCACUUCGCGGGGAUUGCUUUUGUGGUCUUGCGUAGGAUGAGGCACUUUUAUUAGUGAACGUCCUCACGCAACCACUUUUUACUGUGAGAAAAUCAGAGUGUUCAAAGCAGGCAUUUGCCGUGAAUGUAUUAGCAUGGAAUAAUAGAAUAGGACUUGGUUCUAUUUUGUUGGUUUGUUGGGACUGAGUAAUGAUUAAGAGGGACAGUUGGGGGCAUUUGUAUUUCGGUGCUAGAGGUGAAAUUCUUAGAUUACCGAAAGACAAACUGCUGCGAAAGCGUCUGCCAAGGAUGUUUUCAUUGA
This 382-nucleotide ribosomal RNA is filed under the name uncultured eukaryote. Its description in RNAcentral is "partial 18S ribosomal RNA". It matches the Rfam family "Eukaryotic small subunit ribosomal RNA", at positions 592 to 976 of the family's 1831-position model. The record is from RNAcentral.